GUGAGGAAUAUUGCGCAAUGGAGGCAACUCUGACGCAGCCAUGCCGCGUGCAGGAAGAAGGCGCUACGCGUUGUAAACUGCUUUUAACCGGGAAGAAACCCCAGGACGUGUCCUGGGUUGACGGUACCGGAGGAAUAAGCACCGGCUAACUUCGUGCCAGCAGCCGCGGUAAUACGAAGGGUGCAAGCGUUAUCCGGAUUCAUUGGGCUUAAAGGGUGCGUAGGCGGAGCGUUAAGUCAGUGGUGAAAUCCUGCAGCUUAACUGUAGACUUGCCAGUGAUACUGGCGCUCUUGAGUGCGCUUGAAGUGGGCGGAAUGUGCCGUGUAGCGGUGAAAUGCUUAGAUAUGGCACAGAACACCAAGUGCGAAGGCAGCUCACUAAGGCGAUACUGACGCUGAGGCACGAAAGCGUGGGGAUCGAACAGGAUUAGAAACCCCGGUAGUCC
This 445-nucleotide ribosomal RNA is filed under the name uncultured bacterium. RNAcentral's name for it is "partial 16S ribosomal RNA". It matches the Rfam family "Bacterial small subunit ribosomal RNA", at positions 354 to 796 of the family's 1533-position model. The record is from RNAcentral.